UACGUAGGGGGCGAGCGUUGUCCGGAUUUAUUGGGCGUAAAUAGCUCGUAGGCGGCUUGCUAAGUCGGGUGUGAAAUCUCCAGGCUCAACCUGGAGCGGCCACUCGAUACUGGUAUGGCUUGAGUCCGGUAGGGGACCACGGAAUUCCUGGUGUAGCGGUGAAAUGCGCAGAUAUCAGGAGGAACACCGGUGGCGAAGGCGGUGGUCUGGGCCGGUACUGACGCUGAGGAGCGAAAGCGUGGGGAGCAAACAGG
This 254-nucleotide unclassified non-coding RNA is filed under the name uncultured Acidimicrobiia bacterium. RNAcentral describes it as "contains 16S-23S intergenic spacer region". It matches the Rfam family "Bacterial small subunit ribosomal RNA", at positions 524 to 776 of the family's 1533-position model. Lineage: Bacteria; Bacillati; Actinomycetota; Acidimicrobiia. The record is from RNAcentral.